RNAcentral lists this transfer RNA (70 nucleotides) under Phaeognathus hubrichti (Red Hills salamander). Its description in RNAcentral is "tRNA-Val". It matches the Rfam family "tRNA". From Rfam's summary of the family: Transfer RNA (tRNA) molecules are approximately 80 nucleotides in length. Their secondary structure includes four short double-helical elements and three loops (D, anti-codon, and T loops). The record is from RNAcentral. Lineage: Eukaryota; Metazoa; Chordata; Amphibia; Caudata; Plethodontidae.
AAGGAUAUAGCUUAAAAUAAAGCAUUUUGCUUACACCAAAAAAACAUUUGUUAAACCCAAAUUAUCCUGA